RNAcentral lists this small nucleolar RNA (105 nucleotides) under Capra hircus (goat). RNAcentral's name for it is "Small nucleolar RNA SNORA25 (ENSCHIG00000002709.1)". Lineage: Eukaryota; Metazoa; Chordata; Mammalia; Artiodactyla; Bovidae. The record is from RNAcentral.
AGCUCCUUCAAAGAGGGCUCACGGGGACAGAACCCAGGGGCUCUUAACGCUGUGACCAAAGAUCAAGUUCUCUAUAGACUAUGGUUUCCUGAUGGAGACACAAGC